CAGUAGCCGCGGUAAUACGAAGGGUGCAAGCGUUAAUCGGAAUUACUGGGCGUAAAGCGUGCGUAGGCGGUGAGUUAAGUCUGCUGUGAAAUCCCCGGGCUCAACCUGGGAAUGGCAGUGGAUACUGGCAAGCUAGAGUGUGUCAGAGGAUGGUGGAAUUCCCGGUGUAGCGGUGAAAUGCGUAGAGAUCGGGAGGAACAUCAGUGGCGAAGGCGGCCAUCUGGGACAACACUGACGCUGAGGCACGAAAGCGUGGGGAGCAAACAGGAUUAGAUACCCCGGUAGUCCCUGUCUCUUAUAC
This 301-nucleotide ribosomal RNA is filed under the name uncultured bacterium. RNAcentral describes it as "partial 16S ribosomal RNA". It matches the Rfam family "Bacterial small subunit ribosomal RNA", at positions 509 to 807 of the family's 1533-position model. The record is from RNAcentral.